AGUGAACGCUGGCGGUAGGCCUAACACAUGCAAGUCGAACGGCAGCACAGUAAGAGCUUGCUCUUACGGGUGGCGAGUGGCGGACGGGUGAGGAAUACAUCGGAAUCUACUUUUUCGUGGGGGAUAACGUAGGGAAACUUACGCUAAUACCGCAUACGAUCUACGGGUGAAAGCAGUGGAUCUUCGGACCUUGCGCGAUUGAAUGAGCCGAUGUCGGAUUAGCUAGUUGGCGGGGUAAAGGCCCACCAAGGCGACGAUCCGUAGCUGGUCUGAGAGGAUGAUCGGCGACACUGGAACUGAGACACGGUCCAGACUCCUACGGGAGGCAGCAGUGGGGAAUAUUGGGCAAUGGGCGCAAGCCUGAUCCAGCCAUACCGCGUGGGUGAAGAAGGCCUUCGGGUUGUAAAGCCCUUUUGUUGGGAAAGAAAAGCAGCAGGUUAAUACCCCGCUGUUCUGACGGUACCCAAAGAAUAAGCACCGGCUAACUUCGUG
This 492-nucleotide ribosomal RNA is filed under the name uncultured bacterium. RNAcentral describes it as "partial 16S ribosomal RNA". It matches the Rfam family "Bacterial small subunit ribosomal RNA", at positions 29 to 507 of the family's 1533-position model. The record is from RNAcentral.